AAAAUCUAUUUGAGUUAAAAUGUCAUUGCUUUUCCUGAUGCUUGUAAUGCAAGUCUAUAGCCUCAUUCCGGGGAAGAUGAUGAGUUUUAAUGUUUUUCAAUGAAUGAUGCAGUGUGGGAACCAAGGGAUAAGGAGGACAAUGACGUUCACACAUGAUGACUGCCGCUUGCUUUUCCUGAGCACCCAAGCUGCCAGCUGCUUCUCCCCAGGAGCAUAUCUCUGUUUUCUAGAUCCAGGACAGUGUUUCCAGAUGUGUGGUCCAGUCCCCCACCUCCCAGCAGGGAAGAUGAGGAAAUGAAGGCUGUACAGUUAUAGCAGGUCACUCUCCAUCGGAGCAGCAAGCAGCGGCCACCCGUCAGCACUCAAGUAGGGGACUUCCUGUUGGAGAAGAGGGCCAAGAGGGGCCACGGUCACAGCAGAGAGGCGAGGGGCGAAAUGCUCUUCUAACAGGGAAUGCUGCCAUCUGAGCCAGGAAGCUCUCAGCCUCGCCCUUCGUUCCCCACUCCCAGGAGGUGGACACCUGCAUAGAGCCCUCAGCAUGAGGAGCUACAUUGUAUGAAAACCAGUCAAUGUUUCAAAGAUGACUAGGCAAGAAAAAGAAAUCCUUACCACCUAAUUUAGCUGGUUCAACAGUAGCUGGCUCAACGGUCCACCUGCACCCUGGAUGACCAAUCUUACUGAGGUAUGAUGUUCACCUUUAGAGGACAGGGGUGCACUUUGAUUUCCUUUGUAUUCCUUUCAUUCCUCAUGUCAUCAAACAAUGUUAAGAGAGGCCCUUCCUCUCUCUGUUUAUUAAGUCCUGGUAUAUCUCAAUAUAUGUACUUUGGUUUCAGGGAAAGAGCCCUGGGCUUGACCUUGGGCAACUCAGUUCCAACUACUAUGAUCUUCCUUUGUCCGUGAGAUAAAGAUAAAAGUCAUGACCUGACAGAGUUGUGGUAAGAAUUGAAGGACCUGCUAAAGUGCUUUGCACACUAUAAAUUAUUGUACAAAUAUCAUGGCAGUCUGAUCAGAGUGGGAUCUUGUGGGGCACGUGAAUAAAUCUGAAGCAGCCCAAACUGUUUCAAAUUCAAUCCUUACUCUUUUUUUUCAAUGUUUACUUAUUUAUUGUGAGGAAGAAAGAGAGAGAGAGAGA
Herpailurus yagouaroundi (jaguarundi) is the source of this 1132-nucleotide long non-coding RNA. RefSeq lists it as uncharacterized. NCBI's taxonomy places the organism in Eukaryota, Metazoa, Chordata, Mammalia, Carnivora, Felidae. The transcript is spliced from 3 exons. The record is from RefSeq and is a predicted model, not a curated record.